AUGUGAGGGAUAGGGGAACGGGGGAAACUUUUUUUGUCAAGUCCUUACCUUCCCGGAAAGGUGAUCAAAUUUCGGAUCACAUUCUCCGGGCUCUGCGGCCUACCAUCGCUGGAGCUGUGAGCCGCCUCGGACUGUCGUGAGCCCCA
Molecule: long non-coding RNA, 146 nt
Organism: Amblyraja radiata (thorny skate)
Lineage: Eukaryota; Metazoa; Chordata; Chondrichthyes; Rajiformes; Rajidae
Exons: 3
Source: RefSeq, a predicted model, not a curated record